UAGCCCUAUAUCAUGCUUGGUUGGGGUU
This 28-nucleotide non-coding RNA is filed under the name Mus musculus (house mouse). Lineage: Eukaryota; Metazoa; Chordata; Mammalia; Rodentia; Muridae. The record is from RNAcentral.